This 589-nucleotide ribosomal RNA is filed under the name Arthrinium sp. MM 9_2. RNAcentral's name for it is "eukaryotic LSU rRNA". The stretch from base 218 to 371 matches the Rfam family "5.8S ribosomal RNA". The record is from RNAcentral. Lineage: Eukaryota; Fungi; Ascomycota; Sordariomycetes; Amphisphaeriales; Apiosporaceae.
GACUGGUCUCGUUGGUGACCAGCGGAGGGAUCAUUACAGAGUUAUACAACUCCCAUACCAUCUGUUAACCUACCCAGUUAUGCCUCGGCGUAAGCUCGGUUGGAGGCACCUGCAGCUACCCUGUAGUUGCGGACUGCCAACUCCAGCCGCGGCCCGCCGGCGGUACACUAAACUCUGUUUUAUUUUAUAUUCUGAGCGUCUUAUUUUAAUAAGUUAAAACUUUCAACAACGGAUCUCUUGGUUCUGGCAUCGAUGAAGAACGCAGCGAAAUGCGAUAAGUAAUGUGAAUUGCAGAAUUCAGUGAAUCAUCGAAUCUUUGAACGCACAUUGCGCCCAUCAGUAUUCUGGUGGGCAUGCCUGUUCGAGCGUCAUUUCAACCCUUAAGCCUAGCUUAGUGUUGGGAAUCUGCUGUACUGCAGUUCCUUAAAGACAGUGGCGGAGCGGCGGUAGUCCUCUGAGCGUAGUAAUUUAUUUCUCGCUUUUGUCAGGCUCUGUCCUCCCGCCAUAAAACCCCCAAUUUUUUAGUGGUUGACCUCGGAUCAGGUAGGAAUACCCGCUGAACUUAAGCAUAUCAAAAAGCGGGAGGAAA